Molecule: long non-coding RNA, 287 nt
Filed under: Nicotiana benthamiana
Lineage: Eukaryota; Viridiplantae; Streptophyta; Magnoliopsida; Solanales; Solanaceae
Description: long non-coding RNA (NBEN_LNC002392)
Source: RNAcentral
GUGUUGGACUUUGUUGUACAAAUUCCCCGGGUUGGUUAGUGGAAAAAAGAAAAUUUACUUGCGUUAAUUGUAUUACUAGCCCCAAGAAAAUAAAUUGGAGCCGUAUACUUAUUUCUCCAAUCUCCAUAUGUAAUCAAAAUUGUUUGGUGAUAAAAUAAGUGUGGCUUUUAAUUUUAGUGUUAGUUUGUCAUCUUGUCCCUUCCGUUUUUGUCUCAAAUUAUUAGUCGUAAUUUCUAAAAAUUAAUAUCUUAAAUUAUUUAUUAUUUUAAAAUCAAUACAUAAUUAUU